GUCCACGCUGUAAACGAUGGGUGCUAGGUAUCGGGGCUUUAUAGUUUCGGUGCCGCAGCUAACGCGUUAAGCACCCCGCCUGGGGAGUACGGUCGCAAGAUUAAAACUCAAAGGAAUUGACGGGGACCCGCACAAGCGGUGGAGCAUGUGGUUUAAUUCGAUGCUACGCGAAAACCUUACCACCCUUUGACAUGUUCGUCGCGGCUCGUGGAAACAUGAGCCUUCAGUUCGGCUGGACGAAACACAGGUGUUGCAUGGCUGUCGU
This 265-nucleotide ribosomal RNA is filed under the name uncultured bacterium. RNAcentral's name for it is "partial 16S ribosomal RNA". It matches the Rfam family "Bacterial small subunit ribosomal RNA", at positions 793 to 1055 of the family's 1533-position model. The record is from RNAcentral.